UAGCCAUGCGAGUCUAGCCAGUUUAAGCACGUUAACUGGCGGCGAACGGCUCAUUAACACGUAGUCAACCUGCCCUCGGGACGAGAACAAUCUCGGGAAACUGAGGCUAAUUCUUGAUAGGUCAAGAUUCCUGGAAUGGGUUUUGGCUUAAAGAGGUAGCGGCAUCUCGUUACUUUCGCCCGAGGAUGGGACUGCGGCCGAUCAGGCUGUUGGUGAGGUAAAGGCUCACCAAACCAGUAACCGGUACGGGCUUUGAGAGAAGGAGCCCGGAGAUGGACACUGAGACAAGGGUCCAGGUCCUACGGGGCGCAGCAGGCGCGAAACCUUCGCAAUGUGCGAAAGCACGACGAGGUUAUUCCGAGUGAUUUCCGCUGAGGAAAUCUUUUCUCAGAUCUAAAAAGUCUGGGGAAUAAGGGGAGGGCAAGUCUGGUGUCAGCCGCCGCGGUAAUACCAGCUCCUCGAGUGGUCAGGGCGUUUAUUGGGCCUAAAGCAUCCGUAGCCGGCUUAGUAGGUCUCCUGUUAAAUCCAACGGCUCAACCGUUGGUCUGCAGGAGAUACCGCUGGGCUAGGAGGCGGGAGAGGCGGACGGUACUCCGAGGGUAGGGGUAAAAUCCUUUGAUCCCCGGAAGACCACCCAGUGGCGAAGGCGGUCCGCCAGAACGCGCUCGACGGUGAGGGAUGAAAGCUGGGGGAGCGAACCGGAUUAGAUAGGCAUGAGUGAUGAUAGAAGAAACAUUACUUUGCCCUAAAAACCCGGGUAGUCCCAGCCGUAAACGAUGCGAGCUAGGUGACACGACGCCUUCGGGGCGUCGUGGUGCCGCAGGGAAGCCGUUAAGCUCGCCGCCUGGGGAGUACGGACGCAAGUCUGAAACUUAAAGGAAUUGGCGGGGGAGCACCACAAGGGGUGAAGCCUGCGGUUCAAUUGGAGUCAACGCCGGGAACCUUACCGGGAGCGACAGCAGAUUGAAGGUCAAGCUGAAGACUUUACCAGACGAGCUGAGAGGAGGUGCAUGGCCGUCGCCAGCUCGUGCCGUGAGGCGUCCUGUUAAGUCAGGCAACGAGCGAGACCCCUACUUCUAAUUGCUAACAGACAUCGCGAGGUGUUUGAAGCUAGUUAGAAGGACUGCCGCCGCUAAGGCGGAGGAAGGAAGGGGCCACGGCAGGUCAGUAUGCCCCGAAACUCCCGGGCCACACGCGGGCUGCAAUGGUAAGGACAAUGGGUUCCGAUCUCGAAAGAGCUAGGCAAUCCCCAAACCUUACCCCAGUUGGGACUGAGGGCUGCAACCCGCCCUCACGAAUAUGGAAUCCCUAGUAACCGCGUGUCAUCAUCGCGCGGUGAAUACGUCCCUGCUCCUUGCACACACCGCCCGUCGCUUCACCGAAGUUGGGCUAGGACGAGGUGGCGUCUUGUUGGCGUUAUCGAAUCUUAACUCGGCAACGGGGGAGAAGUCGUAACAAGGUAGCCGUA
This 1468-nucleotide ribosomal RNA is filed under the name uncultured archaeon. RNAcentral's name for it is "bacterial SSU rRNA". It matches the Rfam family "Archaeal small subunit ribosomal RNA". The record is from RNAcentral.